UUCCUCCCGAGUGCUUGCACUCAAUUGGAAAGAGGAGUGGCGGACGGGUGAGUAACACGUGGGUAACCUACCCAUCAGAGGGGGAUAACACUUGGAAACAGGUGCUAAUACCGCAUAACAGUUUAUGCCGCAUGGCAUAAGAGUGAAAGGCGCUUUCGGGUGUCGCUGAUGGAUGGACCCGCGGUGCAUUAGCUAGUUGGUGAGGUAACGGCUCACCAAGGCCACGAUGCAUAGCCGACCUGAGAGGGUGAUCGGCCACACUGGGACUGAGACACGGCCCAGACUCCUACGGGAGGCAGCAGUAGGGAAUCUUCGGCAAUGGACGAAAGUCUGACCGAGCAACGCCGCGUGAGUGAAGAAGGUUUUCGGAUCGUAAAACUCUGUUGUUAGAGAAGAACAAGGACGUUAGUAACUGAACGUCCCCUGACGGUAUCUAACCAGAAAGCCACGGCUAACUACGUGCCAGCAGCCGCGGUAAUACGUAGGUGGCAAGCGUUGUCCGGAUUUAUUGGGCGUAAAGCGAGCGCAGGCGGUUUCUUAAGUCUGAUGUGAAAGCCCCCGGCUCAACCGGGGAGGGUCAUUGGAAACUGGGAGACUUGAGUGCAGAAGAGGAGAGUGGAAUUCCAUGUGUAGCGGUGA
This 639-nucleotide ribosomal RNA is filed under the name Enterococcus faecalis. Its description in RNAcentral is "bacterial SSU rRNA". It matches the Rfam family "Bacterial small subunit ribosomal RNA", at positions 67 to 684 of the family's 1533-position model. Lineage: Bacteria; Bacillati; Bacillota; Bacilli; Lactobacillales; Enterococcaceae. The record is from RNAcentral.